CUGUUCAUAUUGCAAAACAAAGCAGUGGACCAGCGACAACGAGGAGCUGCUAAUGGACUUGCCAUGACAUCAAUGUCACUUUUCAAAGCUAUCGGUCCAGCUGGAGGAGGAUUACUCUUUUCUUGGGCUCAAAAGAGGCUUGACGCUUCCAUUCUUCCUGGUUCUCAAGUGGUAUUUUUUGUGCUGAAUGUGAUAGAGGCAAUUGGUGUGUUGUUGACAUUCAAACCAUUCCUAGUUGAAACACAAAAGACUUAAUUAGAGUUGAGUUUAUGGUCUCUUGAAUAUGUCUUUUUUUUUUCUGCUGGCAAUUAGCUAAAAUUGUCUCCUAUUCUUAUGUGUGUGGAUGAUGUGGAACAACAUUCAUCCACAAAUUCUUAUAUAGUUCAAUUAAAGGAGAUUUUGCAUGUUCAAAACUUUAGAACAUUAUAGCCAUUUUAUAUUUAUUGAUUAAUGGGAAAAGGCUCAAAUAUGUCACUGAACUA
Molecule: long non-coding RNA, 482 nt
Organism: Capsicum annuum
Lineage: Eukaryota; Viridiplantae; Streptophyta; Magnoliopsida; Solanales; Solanaceae
Exons: 4
Source: RefSeq, a predicted model, not a curated record